UGACUGGAUGGAACAUUAUUUAUGGACGU
This 29-nucleotide non-coding RNA is filed under the name Mus musculus (house mouse). The record is from RNAcentral. Lineage: Eukaryota; Metazoa; Chordata; Mammalia; Rodentia; Muridae.